This 442-nucleotide ribosomal RNA is filed under the name uncultured bacterium. Its description in RNAcentral is "partial 16S ribosomal RNA". It matches the Rfam family "Bacterial small subunit ribosomal RNA", at positions 338 to 795 of the family's 1533-position model. The record is from RNAcentral.
CCUACGGGAGGCAGCAGUGGGGAAUAUUGGGCAAUGGACGCAAGUCUGACGCAGCAACGCCGCGUGAAGGAAGAAGGAUUUCGGGUUGUAAACUUCUAUUAAGGGGGAAGAGCAGAAGACGGUUACCCUUGAAUAAGCCACGGCUAACUACUUGCCAGCAGCCGCGGUAAUAAGUAGGGGGGAAGGGUUGUUCGGAUGUACUUGGUGUAAAGGGCGUGCAGCUGGAGAGAGAAGUCAUAUGUGAAAUCCACGAGCUCAACCUGGGAAUUGCAUAAGAAACUGUUUACCUAGAGUAUCGGAGAGGUAAUCGGAAUUCCUUGUGUAGCGGUGAAAUGCGUAGAUAUAAGGAAGAACACCAGUGGCGAAGGCGGAUUACUGGACGAUAACUGACGGUGAGGCUCGAAAGCGUGGGGAGCGAACAGGAUUAGAUACCCUUGUAGUC